GGUUGUAGCUCAGAGGUAGAGCACCUGCCUAGCAUGUGUGAGGCACUGGGUUUGAUUCUCAGCACCA
Molecule: transfer RNA, 67 nt
Filed under: Marmota monax (woodchuck)
Lineage: Eukaryota; Metazoa; Chordata; Mammalia; Rodentia; Sciuridae
Description: tRNA.Ala
Source: RNAcentral